This 23-nucleotide microRNA is filed under the name Salmo salar (Atlantic salmon). RNAcentral's name for it is "ssa-miR-8162-5p". Lineage: Eukaryota; Metazoa; Chordata; Actinopteri; Salmoniformes; Salmonidae. The record is from miRBase by way of RNAcentral.
UUGUCUCAGACCUGUUUGUGCUG